This 214-nucleotide non-coding RNA is filed under the name Lactiplantibacillus plantarum. The record is from RNAcentral. Lineage: Bacteria; Bacillati; Bacillota; Bacilli; Lactobacillales; Lactobacillaceae.
UAACGAACGAUAAUCUUACUUUCAAGUAGCGAAUUAACUGUGCGUCAGGAAGUCGGUGGGUGCUGCGAACCGAUCAGGUUAAUCUCGAUGAAAUACGGUAGGAGAGGUCCGGGUACGCCCGGCGGAUAACAACUAGAGCCGUUAACUGCUAGUGAGUGGAGUCAUAUUGUGGCUCAAGCUGGGUGGUACCACGGUCUAAUCAAUCGUCCCUGUU